Long non-coding RNA from Xenia sp. Carnegie-2017, 946 nucleotides. RefSeq lists it as uncharacterized. The transcript is spliced from 2 exons. NCBI's taxonomy places the organism in Eukaryota, Metazoa, Cnidaria, Anthozoa, Malacalcyonacea, Xeniidae. The record is from RefSeq and is a predicted model, not a curated record.
UUUUCGAAAUACGCUUUUCAAUGCAAUAUGGAAAUUUGUCAUCAUAACGUGCACAAAAUCGCUGUUUCGUAAUAAUAUAUACGCAAUUUUAACAAAUAUUUAAUGAUGUUUGGGGCUGUUUUCAUUCAACCGUAGCUAUAGUGUGUUUUCUUUUGACGUCAUAUAAGCCAUGUUGGGAGAGUACAUGAGAGUGUCGAAGCUCAGCAAAGCAUAAAAUUAGCAGAAAUUCUUUUCACUGUAUGGAAUUUUGCCCCAACAUGGUAACUGAUGAAAACAAUUUAGAGGAAGAAAUCAUUAAGGUGUAAAAUGAUUUUUCAUCAGCUGGCAAUCCAUUUGGGACUUUUCACAGUAUUUUUAAUUCACGAAAAUUUACAUAAAACGUACAAAAUGACAUACCUCGCAACAAGUAUAAAACAUGUGAAAAUUGAUCAUCAAAUUUACUGGCAUUUCCCCAGUAUAGUAGCGGCAUCUUCUUUCAUGUUUAGAGAUUAUUUUACACCUCAAUGUUUUCUACUCUCAUGUCCUUAGACCCAAAAAAAAAUUUACAUUUGUAAUGUAAUGUAUGAUAAACUUAAGAAUAAAUUUAAGAGAAAGGAACUUCUCAAACGACUUCAAGUAAUAUGUAAGUUUUAGCAAGUAAAAAUGUUCGUACAAUAAAUGAUAAAAAACAAUCUCCAAACAUUGUUUAAGAUUUUUAGACAUUAAGCUGGCUUGAAGACCACUGUUUUUUGCAAAAAAUUCGGCAAUUUCGCCUCCGUACCUUCAAUGGCGGCGCUCAUGCAGGCUUCAAAGAUGGCGUCCAAUUUAGCCUUCCAGUUGUUGUAGAGUUCACUGGGUUUAAAUAAGGUCGAGAUAGAUAGUUCACUAUACCACGACGAAAAAUUGCAUGUAAUUUACAAACUCUUGGCGUCACGUUCAUUUGCUAUAAUAAAAUUUACAAUAAAUA